This 696-nucleotide long non-coding RNA is filed under the name Neodiprion pinetum (white pine sawfly). RNAcentral describes it as "uncharacterized LOC124215450". Lineage: Eukaryota; Metazoa; Arthropoda; Insecta; Hymenoptera; Diprionidae. The record is from RNAcentral.
ACACUGCCGAAUGCCACCACGCGCGCGUUAUUUUCACCGACUACUGUGGUAGGGUUAGAGAACACGGAAAAAUUUACCAAGCUGAUUCCAAUAUCUCGUCAACCAGGAUUUUAUCACAAUAAUUUAGGAGCUUACGAUUCGACGUCGAUUCGAACCGCGUGUAGCAGCACCGUUCGUCUACGAAUUGAUAACUGGCGUUCAUUGAAAAACAUAAAGACGGAUACCCCUGCGCAAAUUUUUGUGAUCAGUUUUCGGCGGCAAGUGGGCCCUGGUGGGCCUGGGAGCGUGAGAGGGUUCUGCUCGAUCCACUCUACCUAACGAGCUCGCACAAUCAUUCGUAGCAGCAAAAAUAGUGUCGGUAUGAAAGCUUGAGAUGAGCGGGUAGAGAGUCAGUACGUAUGACUACUUGUCAACUGCGACUUCGAAAUGUGGAUCAGCUCGAUCAUCCCCGUGAGAAGAGCGUACCCGCGUCCACCGCCAACAACCCCCAACUACCUCUGAGCACCUCGAACCACCUCCGACCACCUUCGUCCUCCUCGGCCACCUCGUCCCCUUGUCGUUCGCGUCCUCAUCAACCACCUCUGAUCACCACCAACCUCCUCAAAACACCUACCGCCUCCAAACAUUUGAUGGCAAUUUACUCGGGGUAUAACCCGAGGUGGUUGGCGGUGGUCGUUGGAGGUGGUUGGCGGUGGU